UACGAGGGGGGCGAGCGUUGUUCGGAAUUAUUGGGCGUAAAGGGUGCGUAGGCGGUUUGGUAAGUCUUAUGUGAAAUCUACAGGCUCAACUUGUAGUCUGCAUGAGAAACUGCCGGGCUUGAGUAUGGGAGAGGUGAGUGGAAUUCCUGGUGUAGCGGUGAAAUGCGUAGAUAUCAGGAGGAACACCUGUGGCGAAAGCGGCUCACUGGACCAUAACUGACGCUGAUGCACGAAAGCUAGGGGAGCGAAAGGG
This 253-nucleotide ribosomal RNA is filed under the name uncultured bacterium. Its description in RNAcentral is "partial 16S ribosomal RNA". It matches the Rfam family "Bacterial small subunit ribosomal RNA", at positions 524 to 776 of the family's 1533-position model. The record is from RNAcentral.